RNAcentral lists this transfer RNA (72 nucleotides) under Camelus bactrianus (Bactrian camel). It matches the Rfam family "tRNA". Rfam says of the family: Transfer RNA (tRNA) molecules are approximately 80 nucleotides in length. RNAcentral also lists the same sequence under 1 other name. Lineage: Eukaryota; Metazoa; Chordata; Mammalia; Artiodactyla; Camelidae. The record is from Rfam by way of RNAcentral.
GAAGGUAUAGCUCCGUGGUAGAGUGCCUGCUUAGCAUGCAGAUAGGUCCUGGGUUCAAUCCCAGUAUCUCCA